This 496-nucleotide ribosomal RNA is filed under the name uncultured bacterium. Its description in RNAcentral is "partial 16S ribosomal RNA". It matches the Rfam family "Bacterial small subunit ribosomal RNA", at positions 29 to 507 of the family's 1533-position model. The record is from RNAcentral.
AUGAACGCUGGCGGCGUGCCUAAUACAUGCAAGUCGAGCGAACGGACGAGAAGCUUGCUUCUCUGAUGUUAGCGGCGGACGGGUGAGUAACACGUGGAUAACCUACCUAUAAGACUGGGAUAACUUCGGGAAACCGGAUCUAAUACCGGAUAAUAUUUUGAACCGCAUGGUUCAAAAGUGAAAGACGGUCUUGCUGUCACUUAUAGAUGGAUCCGCGCUGCAUUAGCUAGUUGGUAAGGUAACGGCUUACCAAGGCAACGAUGCAUAGCCGACCUGAGAGGGUGAUCGGCCACACUGGAACUGAGACACGGUCCAGACUCCUACGGGAGGCAGCAGUAGGGAAUCUUCCGCAAUGGGCGAAAGCCUGACGGAGCAACGCCGCGUGAGUGAUGAAGGUCUUCGGAUCGUAAAACUCUGUUAUUAGGGAAGAACAUAUGUGUAAGUAACUGUGCACAUCUUGACGGUACCUAAUCAGAAAGCCACGGCUAACUACGUG